RNAcentral lists this ribosomal RNA (801 nucleotides) under uncultured Bacillota bacterium. Its description in RNAcentral is "bacterial SSU rRNA". It matches the Rfam family "Bacterial small subunit ribosomal RNA", at positions 70 to 902 of the family's 1533-position model. The record is from RNAcentral. Lineage: Bacteria; Bacillati; Bacillota.
AAAGCAGGAGCAAUCUUGUGAGUAAAGUGGCGUACGGGUGAGUAACACGUGGAUUAUCUACCUUCUAGUGGGGGAUAACCCUGGGAAACCGGGGCUAAUACCGCAUAAGCUCGAGAGAGGAAAGCAGCAAUGCGCUGGAAGAGGAGUCCGCGGCCGAUUAUGCUAGUUGGUAGGGUAAAAGCCUACCAAGGCUAAGAUCGGUAGCCGGCCUGAGAGGGCACACGGCCACACUGGCACUGAAACACGGGCCAGACUCCUACGGGAGGCAGCAGUGGGGAAUCUUGCACAAUGGGGGCAACCCUGAUGCAGCGACGCCGCGUGAGCGAUGAAGCCCUUCGGGGUGUAAAGCUCUUUCGGCAGGGAAGAUUAUGACGGUACCUGCAGAAGCAGCUGCGGCUAACUACGUGCCAGCAGCCGCGGUAAUACGUAGGCAGCAAGCGUUGUUCGGAGUUACUGGGCGUAAAGGGUGUGUAGGCGGUCUACUAAGUCUGGUGUGAAAUCUCCCGGCUCAACUGGGAGGGUGCGCCGGAAACUGGAAGGCUAGAGUGCGGGAUGGGAGAGUGGAAUUCCUGGUGUAGCGGUGAAAUGCGUAGAUAUCAGGAGGAACACCUGUGGUGUAGACGGCUCUCUGGACCGCAACUGACGCUGAGACACGAAAGCGUGGGUAGCAAACAGGAUUAGAUACCCUGGUAGUCCACGCCCUAAACGAUGCAUAUUUGGUGUGGGCCAUUCAUUUGGUCUGUGCCGGAGCUAACGCGUUAAAUAUGCCGCCUGGGGAGUACGGUCGCAAGGCUGAAACUC